GAGGGUAUAGCUCAGUGGUAGAGCAUGUGCUUAGCAUGCAUGAGGCCCUGGGUUCAAUCCUCAGUACCUCCA
Molecule: transfer RNA, 72 nt
Filed under: Camelus ferus (Wild Bactrian camel)
Lineage: Eukaryota; Metazoa; Chordata; Mammalia; Artiodactyla; Camelidae
Rfam family: tRNA
About the family: Transfer RNA (tRNA) molecules are approximately 80 nucleotides in length. Their secondary structure includes four short double-helical elements and three loops (D, anti-codon, and T loops).
Source: Rfam by way of RNAcentral